GUCAGUCAAAUAAUAUUAUCCAUAGUUGUAAAAAUCACAUUGGCAAAAUAAUACUGCUCAUAGAAGAACAAUAUUGUUUAUUUAUUUGUUUGGAAGAAACGCAGAUAUGUGCUCAAAAUGUGUGGAUUAACGAAUCUGAUACUUGUUUUAAUUCUAUCAAUUCUACCAACAUUAAAAGGGACAGAUAACUUUUGUGUAGGAAGAACUGGCGAGUUUUAUCCGUAUAUAGCGGACUGUACAAAAUUCUAUCAAUGCUCCUCCGACCAGACUUAUAUUAAGGACUGUGCAGGCGGAUCUUAUUGGAAUCAACCUUUGAAGAGAUGUGAGACAACAUGUGACCAAUAUCAUCCAGAAUUAGAUGAACCAACCACUGUUGAACAGGCGACACCUGGAGACGAAGCAACAACUGUGUCAAUACCCGGAGGUUGUGCCCCGGUUAGAAAUUUAAGGUUUGACACAGGCCUUACUUUAGAUUGUCCAGUCCUAGAAGAACUAACAACAAGUUCCAGAUUAGAAUGCCUUUAUCACUGUGUGCGUCAUACAGGAUGUACAUGUUUAAACUUUAUGAAUAAUCAACUGACUAUGAACUGUGCUUUAUUACAAUGCAGUGGUAACCCCGGUGCACUUGUCAACCCGAACGCUUUGUGUAUUUGCUUGUAAAAUUCCUUAAAGGGACAAUAACACAAUAACCAUAAAUAAAAGCUAAUUUGUUAAUAAAUGGCUUAAUCUACGCUCAAUUAAACUCAAAUUGAUUAUUCAACAUUUAACAAGGAAAUCAAAAUAUCAACGCUAGAUAAUAGCCUGGUUUGCAUUCAAUCAGACUGAAAAUCGGCUAGUGAGAACACCUAAUGUUUGAAAAUGUUUAAAUCCCCCAAACGACGAUCAACGGCUUUCAUCUACUUGGUCACAGAUUUUAUAA
Long non-coding RNA from Patella vulgata (common limpet), 919 nucleotides. RefSeq lists it as uncharacterized. The record is from RefSeq and is a predicted model, not a curated record. Lineage: Eukaryota; Metazoa; Mollusca; Gastropoda; Patellidae. The transcript is spliced from 3 exons.